AACGAACGCUGGCGGCAUGCCUAACACAUGCAAGUCGAACGAGACCUUCGGGUCUAGUGGCGCACGGGUGCGUAACGCGUGGGAAUCUGCCCUUUGCUUCGGAAUAACAGUUAGAAAUGACUGCUAAUACCGGAUGAUGUCUUCGGACCAAAGAUUUAUCGGCAAAGGAUGAGCCCGCGUAGGAUUAGGUAGUUGGUGGGGUAAAGGCCUACCAAGCCGACGAUCCUUAGCUGGUCUGAGAGGAUGAUCAGCCACACUGGGACUGAGACACGGCCCAGACUCCUACGGGAGGCAGCAGUGGGGAAUCUUAGACAAUGGGCGCAAGCCUGAUCUAGCCAUGCCGCGUGAGUGAUGAAGGCCUUAGGGUUGGUAAAGCUCUUUUACCCGAGAUGAUAAUGACAGUAUCGGGAG
Molecule: ribosomal RNA, 411 nt
Filed under: uncultured bacterium
Lineage: Bacteria
Description: bacterial SSU rRNA
Rfam family: Bacterial small subunit ribosomal RNA
Source: RNAcentral